GGGAAGCGUUGGGCCAAUAGGAGCGGGAGUGGGCGUGGCCAAGGGGCUUGCGGAGGCAGGCAGCUGGAAGGCCUCCUGGAGAGAAGAGCCGGGGCCCCGGGGCCCCGAAGAGGACGGCGCGGGGGGCGGCAGCCGGUGCAGCUCCUGCGGAGGGGUCUCCAGGAUGGAGCUGGCCGUGCGCUGCCCCAGCGGCUCUUCGUCCUCUAUCUAGCAGUGGCCGCCAUCUGCCUGGGUCUCCUCAUGCUCCCACUGGAGGGCCAGCCCAGCCGGAUCUUGCCCACCACCCUCCACGCCUCCCUCCCCCAGAAGCUGGUGGCCGCUUAUGUCCUGGGCCUGCUGACCAUGGCCUUCCUGCAGGGCUGAGACCCUCUCCAUUCUCCCCUCCAAAGGGAAGGGAGGCAGUCGGACUGAAUCCAGGCCAGGAAGGGGGCCAGCUUGACCGGCAUCAUCAUCAUCAUCACUGGCCACAAGAGCGCAUGGUCUCUGCCAGCUGGCCAUGGCACAGAGGGCAAGAGAGCACCCUGUAGUCCACCUUGGAGUAGCCACUGGUAGCCACAGCCCUUGCGGGCCUGAGAGAUGGGGCUGUCCUGGGAAGGCCUGGGGCCCAGCUGCCCAGAGAGUGGGGCGCUGGGUGGGCAAGUGGGCAUCCAUCUGUCCCCCUGCAAAAAAUCCCCCCCAUGUCUUUGCCAUCCUGGGUGAUUCUCUGUCAAAGCUGAAAUAAAGGGAAAAGGUGAGGAAAGAGA
Sceloporus undulatus (fence lizard) is the source of this 743-nucleotide RNA transcript. It is a transcript of the gene named motile sperm domain containing 3, with no coding region annotated. NCBI's taxonomy places the organism in Eukaryota, Metazoa, Chordata, Lepidosauria, Squamata, Phrynosomatidae. The record is from RefSeq and is a predicted model, not a curated record. The transcript has 4 exons.